CACCAGUGGCGAAGGCGGCUUUUUGGACUGCAACUGACGCUGAGGCUCGAAAGCCAGGGGAGCGAACGGGAUUGGAUACCCCGGUAGUCCUGGCCGUAAACGAUGAAUGCUAGGUGUGGGGGGUAUCGACCCCCUCCGUGCCGGAGUUAACGCAAUAAGCAUUCCGCCUGGGGAGUACGGUCGCAAGACU
Molecule: ribosomal RNA, 190 nt
Filed under: uncultured bacterium
Lineage: Bacteria
Description: partial 16S ribosomal RNA
Rfam family: Bacterial small subunit ribosomal RNA
Source: RNAcentral